This 65-nucleotide transfer RNA is filed under the name Ruidocollaris sinensis. Its description in RNAcentral is "tRNA-Glu". Lineage: Eukaryota; Metazoa; Arthropoda; Insecta; Orthoptera; Tettigoniidae. The record is from RNAcentral.
AUUUAUAUAGUUUAAUAAAAACCAUACAUUUUCAUUGUAUAAAUAAUAAUUAUUAUUUGUAAAUA